GAGGCAAAGCAUAGUAACACGGUUACCAAUGCUAAGAAGCAAGCCAUUUGGCUUGAAAUUGUCAGAAAAGUAAAUGCUGUAGGGGUGGCAAAGAGGAGUUUGAGCGAAGUAAAAGACAAAUGGCGUAACAUGUGUCGGGAGGCCAAAAUGAAAUUUACCGAGAACAAAAGACAGAUGUCAAAGACAGGAGGAGGGCCUCCACCCAUCCCUCUUUCCCAGACAAUGCAGGAUGUUGUUGACAUGUAUAAGGAUGCCAGUUCCUUCCAUGGGAUUGAGGGGGGCAUUGAAACCUCAAUGCCUGGCUGUUCUGUAAUAUCCUCCAUGGCAGUAUCUCCAACUCAGACUGUUACUAAGGAUCAUAAUGUGGACUUUUGGCAAGAUGCUUGAGAGAACCUUCCUGUGCCACCCCAAUCUCCAGCAAGUCAUGCAUUCAUUGUCAUGGAGACACUCUUAGAGGAACCCCUUUCCCCACCUAGUCCACCAAGACAACUAUGUGCCUCAUCAUUGCCUGUCAGUACAUGUAGUAGAGAUCCAAACCAAGGAAAAGAGAG
Molecule: long non-coding RNA, 551 nt
Organism: Saccostrea cuccullata (small rock oyster)
Lineage: Eukaryota; Metazoa; Mollusca; Bivalvia; Ostreida; Ostreidae
Exons: 3
Source: RefSeq, a predicted model, not a curated record